This 267-nucleotide long non-coding RNA is filed under the name Elaeis guineensis (African oil palm). Its description in RNAcentral is "long non-coding RNA (EGUI_LNC073536)". Lineage: Eukaryota; Viridiplantae; Streptophyta; Magnoliopsida; Arecales; Arecaceae. The record is from RNAcentral.
UUACUUUUUUCUCUGCUUGUUCUUCUUUCUCUUAUGUGUUGUUGAAUUCCUUCGUAAGUCGCUAACUCAUAUAGGUCGGUUAGGAUGUUCGGCAACUCGUGCCGCCACGCAGGUAGGACAAGUCCCGACUUUUGAUCGGCCUUUGAUAGUCAAGGUCGUCAGUCGGGCGUCCUUCCUCCGGCCAUGAGUCGGGCGCAUCCGUUGAGUCGGAAGCCGACCGACCGUAAUAAAGGAUCGGUAGUCGGGUCUCUUCCGACGCGUUCAGUC